UAUCAGAGGAUGGUUUCGAUCCAUCCACUUCUGGGUUAUGAGCUGAGCAUGCUACUGUUGCCCCACUCUGCU
This 72-nucleotide small RNA is filed under the name Cricetulus griseus (Chinese hamster). RNAcentral describes it as "tRNA-Met". Lineage: Eukaryota; Metazoa; Chordata; Mammalia; Rodentia; Cricetidae. The record is from RNAcentral.